UACAGUUUGGAGAAUGGACUGGGUGGCACCCAAGUGGGGCCCAAGUGGAUGUGGAAGGUCAAGCAGAGGCCAGGGUAGUAGCCCUGUGAGAAAGCAUGGUGGCUUUGUCAUUGGAAUUUGCGGCCAGAUUCGUGAUUGGUUGGAUGGAAGUGGUGAGAGAGAGGGAGGGAGGAGUAAAGGAUGACUCCCCGGCAACUUCCUGACCGCAGGCAUCACUCCCCGGGUCACAAACACUGCAGCAGGACCAGGCUCGGGAGUGGUAAUCACGCUAGGUAAUUUUGGCCAGGUUGCACCUGGGGUAGCUCUGCGACAUCCAAGUGGAGAUGUCAUGUAGGCAGGAGGAUAAUGAGUCCAGAGCUCAGAGCAGACGUCUAGUCUGGGGAAGUAAAUUUGAAAGUCAUGAGAACAUACCUGGUAACUGAAGUGAUGUGCACCGAUGAGGUUGCUUAGGGAGAGAAUGUAAAGUGAGACAUGAAAAGGGCUGACGGCUGAGUCUUGAGAAACUGCAGCCUUUGAAGUUGGGAGGAGGGGCAGUCCCUCGCAGGAGGUUCAUGUGUGCUUGUGAAACGCAAGCACAUUAUCUCAGAGGCAAAACAGCUACAGGAAAGGAGGAAGAGUCCAAUGUGACAGAGAAAAGAUAAUCAUUGUUGGCAGUGUCAUCUUGACUCUCAAUGAUAGCGUCUGUGACAGGUGGGAGUGAGGCUGCAGAAUGAAACAGAGGGGGAAUCACCGGAAAGCAUCCUCCAUCUGCCUGGGAAGACCUGCAUCAGGCCUGAAAGUGAUAUCGUGGGAACCAACAGAGGACUUGGAAAUCGGAAGAGAUGAGAAUACGGAGACCCCUCUCCAGUGAAUUUCUGCACCGGUCGCUUUGCUCAGCUUUCCCUCCUGUUCCUGAAACGUCUUCCUCAUUCCUCUCAGCCUCUCUAAAUUCUCCAAAUGCUUCAAGUUUCACUAAUUCCCUUAUAAGGCUUAUAGAAUUUCCCACAUGGACCCUCAGUAGGUUAAAAUUUCCAAGAGCACAAAGAACACUUUUGAUUGUGUUCUUCCUCAUUUCCCCACUGUCUAGCACUGUACUUAGCGUUUGUCAGACGCUUAAAAUAUACGUGCUGAAUGAGUUGAUGGCUUUGAAUGACUGGGGGAAUUUUGGGUCCUUCACUCAUCUCAAGUAAACUGUGAAUCAUCAG
This 1184-nucleotide long non-coding RNA is filed under the name Equus caballus (horse). RNAcentral's name for it is "lncRNA (ENSECAG00000048874.1)". Lineage: Eukaryota; Metazoa; Chordata; Mammalia; Perissodactyla; Equidae. The record is from RNAcentral.